Oncorhynchus tshawytscha (Chinook salmon) is the source of this 6431-nucleotide long non-coding RNA. The record is from Ensembl. Lineage: Eukaryota; Metazoa; Chordata; Actinopteri; Salmoniformes; Salmonidae.
GCAGCAGGAGGAAGUAAACGUUUAGAACAAUUAUAAUUAUUUUUAUCAAGAACAGUAGAGGGGCAAAGUCAACUCCGAGAUAGCUGAGCUAGUAAUUAGCUCUAUGUUCAUAUCGAGACGUCACACUCGGCACCGAGUCCCAAUGCCAGUGCUCCCCAGUGUCUUCAGAGCCAGACGGGACCCCCGCACCAGCCAAGGUAGAGGGAGCCCCUACAACAAUCGAUCCCGUGGAAACCCCUGCACCAACAGAGCUACACAGAAUACCCAUAUCCAUCCGACUGAACAUAAUACCCACACCAACAGAGACGUGCAAACACAACACACUAAUCAAUCCAGUGGAAACCCCAGCACCAACCAUGCGAGACGGAAUCCCCAUAUCUUUACGACGGAACCUAAUCCCCACACCAACAGAGCCAGGCAAACCAUCCACACCAACCAAUCCAGUGGGAAUCCCUAAACCAACCAAUCUAGUUGGAACUCCUACAGCAAUUGAUCCAUCAGGAACCCCUGCACCAACUAUGCUAGACAGAAUCCCCACAUCCAUCAGCCUGAACAAAAUCACCACACUAACAGAGCCAGGCAAACACUCCACAUCAACCAAUCCUGUGGGAACCCCUUCACCAAUUAAUUCAGUGGGGACCCCUGCACCAGCCGAGCUUGAUGGACUCCCCACACCAACAGACCCAGGAAAACCCUCCACAUCAACCAAGCUAGACGGAAUCCCCACAUACAUCUGCCUGAAUGGAAUCCCCACAUCCAUCUGCAUGAACGGAACCCCCACCUCAAUACAGUCCAAAAUCCCCAGACCAAUACAACCUAAAAUUCCCCACACCAAUACAGCCAGGCAAACCCUCCACACAAAAUAAUCCAGUGGGAACCUCUAUACCAAUUGAUGAAACAUCUGACUCCUCUGAGCACCAGGACCAAGAAAUGCAAAGAAAAAUGUGGACAGAUGGAGAUCUAAUCGUUGCUGAAGACGGUGCAACCAUUCAAGCACAAAAGAAAAUCAAAACAACAGAAGAGUCGCUGAACAUGGAUACGGAUAGGCCCAUGGUGUCAAGACAUGCAGAGGUAGACACUGAAGUAUUAGAUCAAUUAGAAAAGAGCAGCAUUGUACAAGCAACCAACAAGCAAACUUUGUGGGCUAUAAACUGCUUUAAGGACUGGCUGGCAGAGAAACGGAUGAUAGUGGAUUUUUCAACCAUUGAGAAAUCUGAAAUGAAUGUACUCUUGUGAGAUUUUUACUGUUCUGUUCAAAGGGGUAAAGGUGGGGAGUAUUGCAUCCCAAGCUAUAUCGGAAUCCGGGCUGGCGUGAACAGAUUCAUUAACCUCCCUCCCCUUAGCAGAUCCUGGUGCUUGAUGAAGGACAGUGAAGAAACUAAAGAAACUCAGACGAGAGGGCAGGGACAAAACUACCCAUCCAAAGGUGAUUACAGCACAAGACCUUGAGAUUCUUCAAAACUCUACUGUGCUAAGCCCCUACACACCCAGAGGACUAGUGAACCAAGUGUGGUUUGAUAUCCAGUUACACUUUGGCCCCAGAGGAAAAGAGGGCAAUAGACGGCUAACGCCACAGUCGUUUGUAAUAAGGUACGAUGAAAACGGAGCAAAAUAUGCAACGCUGACUUCCAAAGAAGAAAGACUGAACCACAAAGAUGCAGAACUGGCAGAAUCGCUGUGGAAUCAUGUUUCAGAACCCUGAUAGUCCACUCUGUCCAGUCGCCUCCUUGGAGAAGUAUCUGAGCAAGAUCCCGCCAGAUGCCACCGUCCUCUACCUCCAUCCUAUUAAGAUGGUCAUCACCAGUGACAGCAUGUGCUAUAGCCAGGAGCCAAUGGGGUUUAACUACCUUUCAUCAAUGCUUCCCCCGACUGUGCCAGGUUUGCUUUUUUUCAAGCAAAUUUCGGAACAUUUUAAUAUUCGCUAAAUAGCUAAGUUGUACUCAUAACUCAACCUGUUGUUGCUUCUUGGCUCACUCACUCUCUUUUUCUCUCUCUAGGAGGCUGGUACAUUGGAAAAGUACACAAACAAUUGCUUCCGAACUUUGCGCGAGAUCAUGUCUGUCAGCAGACUGAUAGUUCCUUGAAGAGUGUCGUAGCUGAAUCAGAAUGAGUUAGGUAACAUAGAUAAAUAAGAUGUUUUAAUUAUUUUAUACUUGUCAUUAGAAUGUCUUCUUUUGGACUAUACUGUUGGCAGUUGCAUUUUCCUCUCUUCUCUAGGGAAAAGUCACUUGGGGCCCAGAGAGGGGAGAGGUCAGGCUUGUCUUUUACAUGUCUGGUAAUAGGCAGAAUAUCAGAAAGGGAAAAGUCAGGUUUAAACAUUGUCUUCAUAAUGAAUAUAUCUGUUAAACCAUGUGAAGGGCUCCACCAUGUCUGUACUCCAGUCACUCCCUCCUUUUUCCAUUGGGGGGAGGAGUAUGGUAAUGUCUGGAACCAUUGUAUGUCCCUCUGUUGCCCUUAUCUUGAUUUAGUAUAUGACCUAGAGGCUCACUACCCUCCGGGAGUUUGUCCAGGAGGGGUGUAUUUGAGAUGGGAGUAUCUAGAACUGACAAUUGAUAUAUGCCAUUGGAUGAGGUAAUGUUUUGGUAAUAUGAAGUUUUUUUAUUUAUUUUUAUUUCACCUUUAUUUAACCAGGUAGGCUAGUUGAGAACAAGUUCUCAUUUGCAACUGCGACCUGGCCAAGAUAAAGCAUAGCAGUGUGAACAGACAACACAGAGUUACACAUGGAGUAAACAAUUAACAAGUCAAUAACACAGUAGAAAAAAAAGGGGAGUCUAUAUACAUUGUGUGCAAAAGGCAUGAGGAGGUAGGCAAAUAAUUACAAUUUUGCAGAUUAAUAACACUGGAGUGAUAAAUGAUCAGAUGGUCAUGUACAGGUAGAGAUAUUGGUGUGCAAAAGAGCAGAAAAGUAAAUAAAUAAAAACAGUAUGGGGAUGAGGUAGGUAAAAAUGGGUGGGCUAUUUACCGAUAGACUAUGUACAGCUGCAGCGAUCGGUUAACUGCUCAGACAGCAGAUGUUUGAAGUUGGUGAGGGAGAUAAAAGUCUCCAACUUCAGUGAUUUUUGCAAUUCGUUCCAGUCACAGGCAGCAGAGAACUGGAACGAAAGGCGGCCAAAUGAGGUGUUGGCUUUAGGGAUGAUCAGUGAGAUACACCUGCUGGAGCGCGUGCUACGGAUGGGUGUUGCCAUCGUGACCAGUGAAUUGAGAUAAGGCGGAGCUUUACCUAGCAUGGACUUGUAGAUGACCUGGAGCCAGUGGGUCUGGCGACGAAUAUGUAGCGAGGGCCAGCUGACUAGAGCAUACAAGUCGCAGUGGUGGGUGGUAUAAGGUGCUUUAGUGACAAAACGGAUGGCACUGUGAUAAACUGCAUCCAGUUUGCUGAGUAGAGUGUUGGAAGCAAUUUUGUAGAUGACAUCGUCGAGGAUCGGUAGGAUAGUCAGUUUUACUAGGGUAAGUUUGGCGGCGUGAGUGAAGGAGGCUUUGUUGCGGAAUAGAAAGCCGAUUCUUGAUUUGAUUUUCGAUUGGAGAUGUUUGCUAUGAGUCUGGAAGGAGAGUUUACAGUCUAGCCGGACACCUAGGUACUUAUAGAUGUCCACAUAUUCAAGGUCGGAACCAUCCAGGGUGGUGAUGCUGGUCAGGCAUGCGGGUGCAGGCAGCGAACGGUUACCCAAGAAUGAGAUUAGAACCUUGUCUUAGAGAGCAAACUGAACGAUAAUUUAUAGUUAAUGCUAUCUGGCUAUGGGAUACUCCUCUCUCUCAAGUAUAAGGCCUUUGUGCUGUUUUCCUAUUAUCUGUGGUUCGUCAUGUAAGUGAGAGAGGUGGAUCUUUGCUAUAAAAGAUCUGUUGCCAUUAUGUUGACACUCUCAGAAUUCAUUUAUAGACACUGAAUUGAUCGGAGAGUCACAGGGCUAUGGUGAAGCUCAUAUUAUUAAAAGAUUAAGUUUAAAGUAUAACUCUGACUUGUGUGUGGUUUGUAAACUCUCCUUUCACUUAGUAAUACAGGAAAUUACCAUGACAAGAGUUAUUGAAAACCAUCAAUGGACAACAGAAAGAGAUGUCAAAUAGGCACAAUGUGAGUCAAGGCAGUGACAUGAUUCAGUUUUACUUCCUACCAGCAACAUUCUCUCGGUCUUAUACACAAAUAGAGAGCUUGACAAGAUGCAUACAGUCCUCACCAUAUGUAUUUACAUUUUUUUUUGUGGUGACAGUCCAGAAUGUAACCUUUUUAAAUUGAGGUUAUAUAUUAGGUAUAGAUUUUACUUUGCGCUGUGACUUUACUAUUCAGAAUUGUAAGCCUUUUUAAGCUUUCUUUUCACCAACAAGUUGUACACUACUGGAAACUGUUUAACCAUAAUCAUCCAUUUAGAAAAUGUAAAGUUUAGGGGGAAAAAUCUCAGCACUAUGAAGAAUGGAUGGAUAAGAGGAUAUAGUUGCUUCUGAUGGAUAAUUGGGGGAAUUCAUUUUUGUAUGAGAAUUUCUCAAAUAUAAUUUUCUUUGUGGCUGGAAGCAAUUUGAGGUUAAACUUCCUAGAUCUGUUUUUAAACUGGUAAAAAUAACAUGUCUACACCACUUUGUAUACCAUCUCUUGUGGCAAAUCAUCAUACUUACAGCUGUUUAACAAAUUAAUUGUACCCUUCACAUAGAAAUGAUAUUUCCCUAAUUUACAAGAUCUAUUGUUUAAAGGUUAUGUACCAACUACCUAAAAUUACCUGUACCCCCUUAAAUUCAAGAUGUUGAACUAUAUAUCUCUUUCUCAGAAAGAAAUAGAACUAACAAAACAAUUGUGCAAGCUAUAAGAGUGCUUGAGAGUUAAGGUGGUUACAAGAAGCAUGGAAAACCAGAUGAGCCAAACAUAUGUUGUGGGAAGGAACAAAAGGCCCAAGAGAAGUUGUAAACCAUAGGGAACCAGGAAUAAGAACGCAUCGAGAGAACAUAUGGAGUGAAACAACCUCGUCUGAGGGCAUUUGAUGUAGAAUAUGAGUAAUAACAAGUACAUGUAUUCUAAAGUGUGUAGGCAUAGUGCACUUGAUUACAUUAUAAUUUUGGUCUACAUGCAUAAUUGUAGCCUACUUUUCCUUCCCGGCACUAGGGCUGCUGAAUCAAGUGCACCUAUGCUUAACAGUGAGAAACAAAUGUAAAAACAAUAGGAAAGCAAGGCUUUAUUAGUUUAUAAACCAUAUCUUUGGGCUUAUUGUUUUUUACGGAAAUGCUUGGAGAUCACGAUAGACCUGUUGGUAACUGCUGUUGUAGCCUUUUACUUACGAAGCAUAUCGGAGCAUAAAUUGAAAUAACUUUCCCCACUACAGAUUGACCGUUUAUUAGUAAGGAAGGGCAAAGGCCUGCAAAUGACUAAACCUGAUAUUUGUAUACUGGUGAGAAGAAUCUGUAGUAAAACUCAGACUCGAGAAUAAACUGUCUCACAAAAUGAAUAAUUAGACAUUCGAAACCACCUGGAACCAUUUACAAACUUAUUGGAAUGACCACACAAACUGAAAUUGUCAUUCAUGGGCUGCGGGCAACCGUAAUUUGAAAACCACAAAUCAGAAUGUAUAUAUUGCAGUCGAUGACCACCCUGCCACUUGCUACUGGGAGGAGAAUAUAACCAUUAUAAAAGAUGGAACUGUGACUGCAAUGAUUGACCUAACAUGUCAAAGUUGUUUGUAGAAAAAUGUUUUGUUUAUGAGAAUGAAUGAAAUACCUAGUGAUGAGUUAGGCAGUCAUAGGUAUACUGAGCCCAUAAAGCAUGGAUUAACUUUCAUCACUGAAGAAUCAUUUGAUAAAAUGGCAGUAUAUUGCAAAGUAGACUAGGAUUAUGCGUGUAGGCCAACAUUAUAAUGUAAAAUCUGAAUGGCUAUGUCUAUAGACUUUAGGAUACUUGUUUUACUGAUUACUAUACAAUACUGGUCCGUGCUUGCCAGCAAUGGAGUGUCAGGAAAUGUAGAAACUGAAAUUCCAAAUUCAAGUGUUGUAGUUAUCCAUCUGACUAGCUUUUAGCUUUUGCACUCAACAUGGAAAUAUAAUUGUUGUAUUGAAGAAUUACAAGGCUUAUCAAGAGACUACGCAUGAUUAUUCAUGUAACACACCGACUGUGUUAUAUUAUAAUCACUAGGCCUAUGCAUUGCAUGCAGAAUGUUAAAGAAUGUGAUGAUGAGUUACUAUGAAUGUCGUCAGAUCGAUAUAAGCAUUAAUUCAUUACAUAAAGGAUAUAUCUCUGUUCACUUCCUGCAAAAGAAAGUUUGACACUAGACAACAUAUUUUGUUUUAUUUUGUAUUAUUAUAUCAUUUACAAAAAUAAACAUUUGAAUAUUAAAACUUAUCUACUUGCAGAGAAACAGCUCAACAUUUACAUUACUUUCAGUCAUGUAACAGACUCCCAUCAAUAGCGACCCACAGAAGCAACCAGCUUCAACACCCUGCUCAAGAGCAUGUCGACA